Molecule: ribosomal RNA, 1346 nt
Filed under: uncultured bacterium
Lineage: Bacteria
Description: partial 16S ribosomal RNA
Rfam family: Bacterial small subunit ribosomal RNA
Source: RNAcentral
GACGAACGCUUGCGGCGUGCUUAACACAUGCAAGUCGAACGGAAAGGCCCUGCUUUUGUGGGGUGCUCGAGUGGCGAACGGGUGAGUAACACGUGAGUAACCUGCCCUUGACUUUGGGAUAACUUCAGGAAACUGGGGCUAAUACCGGAUAGGAGCUCCUGCUGCAUGGUGGGGGUUGGAAAGUUUCGGCGGUUGGGGAUGGACUCGCGGCUUAUCAGCUUGUUGGUGGGGUAGUGGCUUACCAAGGCUUUGACGGGUAGCCGGCCUGAGAGGGUGACCGGCCACAUUGGGACUGAGAUACGGCCCAGACUCCUACGGGAGGCAGCAGUGGGGAAUACUGCACAAUGGGCGGAAGCCUGAUGCAGCAACGCCGCGUGCGGGAUGACGGCCUUCGGGUUGUAAACCGCUUUCGCCUGUGACGAAGCGUGAGUGACGGUAAUGGGUAAAGAAGCACCGGCUAACUACGUGCCAGCAGCCGCGGUGAUACGUAGGGUGCGAGCGUUGUCCGGAUUUAUUGGGCGUAAAGGGCUCGUAGGUGGUUGAUCGCGUCGGAAGUGUAAUCUUGGGGCUUAACCCUGAGCGUGCUUUCGAUACGGGUUGACUUGAGGAAGGUAGGGGAGAAUGGGAUUCCUGGUGGAGCGGUGGAAUGCGCAGAUAUCAGGAGGAACACCAGUGGCGAAGGCGGUUCUCUGGGCCUUUCCUGACGCUGAGGAGCGAAAGCGUGGGGAGCGAACAGGCUUAGAUACCCUGGUAGUCCACGCUGUAAACGGUGGGUACUAGGUGUGGGGUCCAUUCCACGGGUUCCGUGCCGUAGCUAACGCUUUAAGUACCCCGCCUGGGGAGUACGGCCGCAAGGCUAAAACUCAAAGGAAUUGACGGGGCCCCGCACAAGCGGCGGAGCAUGCGGAUUAAUUCGAUGCAACGCGUAGAACCUUACCUGGGUUUGACAUGGAUCGGGAGUGCUCAGAGAUGGGUGUGCCUCUUUUGGGGUCGGUUCACAGGUGGUGCAUGCCUGUCGUCAGCUCGUGUCGUGAGAUGUUGGGUUAAGUCCCGCAACGAGCGCAACCCUUGUUCACUGUUGCCAGCACGUUAUGGUGGGGACUCAGUGGAGACCGCCGGGGUCAACUCGGAGGAAGGUGGGGAUGACGUCAAGUCAUCAUGCCCCUUAUGUCCAGGGCUUCACGCAUGCUACAAUGGCUGGUACAGAGAGUGGCGAGCCUGUGAGGGUGAGCGAAUCUCGGAAAGCCGGUCUCAGUUCGGAUUGGGGUCUGCAACUCGACCUCAUGAAGUCGGAGUCGCUAGUAAUCGCAGAUCAGCAACGCUGCGGUGAAUACGUUCCCGGGGCU